GACGAACGCUGGCGGCGUGCUUAACACAUGCAAGUCGAACGAUGAAGCUGGAGCUUGCUCCGGUGGAUUAGUGGCGAACGGGUGAGUAACACGUGAGCAAUCUGCCCUUGACUCUGGGAUAACUGCGGGAAACUGUAGCUAAUACCGGAUAUGAGGCUCGAAGGCAUCUUCGGGUCUGGAAAGAAUUUCGGUCAAGGAUGAGCUCGCGGCCUAUCAGCUUGUUGGUGAGGUAAUGGCUCACCAAGGCGACGACGGGUAGCCGGCCUGAGAGGGUGAACGGCCACACUGGGACUGGGACACGGCCCAGCCUCCUACGGGAGGCAGAAGUGGGGAAUAUUGCACACUGGGCGAAAGCCUGAUGCAGGAACGCCGCGUGAGGGAUGAAGGCAUUCGGGUUGUAAACCUCUUUUAGCAGGGAAGAAGCGAAAGUGACGGUACCUGCAGAAAAAGCACCGGCUAAAUACGUGCCAGCCGCCGCCGUAA
Molecule: ribosomal RNA, 483 nt
Filed under: uncultured bacterium
Lineage: Bacteria
Description: partial 16S ribosomal RNA
Rfam family: Bacterial small subunit ribosomal RNA
Source: RNAcentral